UACGUAGGGGGCAAGCGUUGUCCGGAAUCAUUGGGCGUAAGGCGCGUGUAGGCGGCUUCGUAAGUCCGUUGUGAAAGUCCAGGGCUCAACCCUGGAAUGCCGAUGGAUACUGCGGAGCUAGAGUCCGGAAGAGGCGAGUGGAAUUCCUGGUGUAGCGGUGGAAUGCGCAGAUAUCAGGAGGAACACCAACGGCGAAGGCAGCUCGCUGGGACGGUACUGACGCUAAGGCGCGAAAGCGUGGGGAGCGAACAGG
RNAcentral lists this ribosomal RNA (253 nucleotides) under uncultured bacterium. Its description in RNAcentral is "partial 16S ribosomal RNA". It matches the Rfam family "Bacterial small subunit ribosomal RNA", at positions 524 to 776 of the family's 1533-position model. The record is from RNAcentral.